AUUGAACGCUGGCGGCAUGCCUUACACAUGCGAGUCGAACGGUAACAGGUCUUCGGAUGCUGACGAGUGGCGCACGGGUGAGUAAUACAUCGGAACGUGCCCGAUCGUGGGGGAUAACGGAGCGAAAGCUUUGCUAAUACCGCAUACGAUCUACGGAUGAAAGCAGGGGACCGCAAGGCCUUGCGCGGACGGAGCGGCCGAUGGCAGAUUAGGUAGUUGGUGGGAUAAAAGCUUACCAAGCCGACGAUCUGUAGCUGGUCUGAGAGGACGACCAGCCACACUGGGACUGAGACACGGCCCAGACUCCUACGGGAGGCAGCAGUGGGGAAUUUUGGACAAUGGGCGAAAGCCUGAUCCAGCCAUGCCGCGUGCAGGAUGAAGGCCUUCGGGUUGUAAACUGCUUUUGUACGGAACGAAAAGACUCUUUCUAAUAAAGAGGGUCCAUGACGGUACCGUAAGAAUAAGCACCGGCUAACUACGUG
This 482-nucleotide ribosomal RNA is filed under the name uncultured bacterium. Its description in RNAcentral is "partial 16S ribosomal RNA". It matches the Rfam family "Bacterial small subunit ribosomal RNA", at positions 30 to 507 of the family's 1533-position model. The record is from RNAcentral.